This 253-nucleotide ribosomal RNA is filed under the name uncultured bacterium. RNAcentral describes it as "partial 16S ribosomal RNA". It matches the Rfam family "Bacterial small subunit ribosomal RNA", at positions 524 to 776 of the family's 1533-position model. The record is from RNAcentral.
UACGGAGGGUGCAAGCGUUAUCCGGAUUCACUGGGUUUAAAGGGUGCGUAGGUGGGCAGGUAAGUCAGUGGUGAAAUCUCCGAGCUUAACUCGGAAACUGCCGUUGAUACUAUUUGUCUUGAAUAUUGUGGAGGUAAGCGGAAUAUGUCAUGUAGCGGUGAAAUGCUUAGAUAUGACAUAGAACAUCAAUUGCGAAGGCAGCUUACUACACAACGAUUGACGCUGAGGCACGAAAGCGUGGGGAUCAAACAGG